Parambassis ranga (Indian glassy fish) is the source of this 557-nucleotide long non-coding RNA. Lineage: Eukaryota; Metazoa; Chordata; Actinopteri; Ambassidae. The record is from Ensembl.
UACUACCUAAUGAAAAUGGAGGAUGUCUCACCAAAACGAUUUGCUUGAGCAAAAUGAUUAAAUUAAAUUAAAGCAGCUCUGCUUCUUCACUUUCUUUCAUCAGGAUAUAAGGAGGUCAUGUUUAUUCACACCCACUACAGCCACCUGAGUGAGAUUGUGUCUGGAGCAAAGGAACCUGCAAACCAAGAGAAAGUGAAAAGAAUCCUCCCAGGUCACCUAGCUUCUGCUGUCAUAUCAGCCACUGUCCGUGACAGCUCCAAGGCCCAAACGAUUCCAGUGGCUGUCCAGUACACUCUCUCUUCAUCACAAGUGGUGGCGUAUUCACAGAGAGUUAUUCCUGUUUGUGCCUUUUGGAAUUUCAGCCUCGACAAUUCUCAUACCAGUAGCUGGUCCAGCAAGGGCUGUAGGGUGAUCUUUAUUGGCUCUAGUGUCACCUCCUGUCUUUGUAAUCACACUACCAACUUUGCAGUGCUGAUGAAUUACCUAGAGUCCAAGGUAAGUAGAGAUUUUUGUAAUGUAGUUACCGUACUUAAAUUACAAUGAAGGGGGGGGGGGAU